RNAcentral lists this ribosomal RNA (253 nucleotides) under uncultured bacterium. RNAcentral describes it as "partial 16S ribosomal RNA". It matches the Rfam family "Bacterial small subunit ribosomal RNA", at positions 524 to 776 of the family's 1533-position model. The record is from RNAcentral.
UACAGAGGUCUCAAGCGUUGUUCGGAUUCAUUGGGCGUAAAGGGUGCGUAGGUGGCGCUGUAAGUCGGGUGUGAAAUUUCGGAGCUUAACUCCGAAACUGCAUUCGAUACUGCGGUGCUUGAGGACUGGAGAGGAGUCUGGAAUUCAUGGUGUAGCAGUGAAAUGCGUAGAGAUCAUGAGGAAGACCAGUGGCGAAGGCGGGUCUCUGGACAGUUCCUGACACUGAGGCACGAAGGCCAGGGGAGCAAACGGG